UACGAAGGGGGCUAGCGUUGUUCGGAAUCACUGGGCGUAAAGGGCGCGUAGGCGGCCGAUCAAGUCGGGGGUGAAAUCCUGGAGCUCAACUCCAGAACUGCCUUUGAUACUGGAAAGCUUGAGUUCGGGAGAGGUGAGUGGAACUGCGAGUGUAGAGGUGAAAUUCGUAGAUAUUCGCAAGAACACCAGUGGCGAAGGCGGCUCACUGGCCCGAUACUGACGCUGAGGUGCGAAAGCGUGGGGAGCAAACAGG
This 253-nucleotide ribosomal RNA is filed under the name uncultured bacterium. Its description in RNAcentral is "partial 16S ribosomal RNA". It matches the Rfam family "Bacterial small subunit ribosomal RNA", at positions 524 to 776 of the family's 1533-position model. The record is from RNAcentral.